AAUGAACUUUGGAUUGUAAUGAAAUUGAACUGUUAGAAAUCGUAACACACUUAUUUUAAUAGAUGAGGUCUGACAAAAAGGCAUCAAUAAAUUUGGACAAUGCAGUAGUACCUAGGAAAGAAGACAAAAGUAGAAUGACUUGGGCAAUCAGAACAUUGCAGGAAUCCAAAAAAACUGUUAGAGCCAGGAUCUGUUGUUGUUAGACGUUCAAGCAAGUCUUGAUGUCCAAGUGAGACUGAAUACUGCCAGGAUCUAGAUACAGGAAUUCUUCCUCAGUUCAACAGGAAAAUCCUCUUCAUACCUUCCUCUCAACUUCCUCAGGAGACCAGAAGAAAGUCAGCUGGACAAGAUGGAAUCUUCCCAGAUCCUGUAGCUCAGGCUCCCAUGGUCACACACCACUGUCAAUCAUACCUAGCCACAAUGGGAUCAUCUUCAAAGGAAGGAGGAUUUAUCCUGAAUCUCUCAAUAUCUUGUGGAAUGAAAGAUAUUUGAUGCCUAAUGGUCCCAACAUCUCCACUAUUAAGACUACUAAAGACCUGACUUAAGGAUAAUAAAAAGUGAAGAAAAUUGAAGAAAAUUGAGGAU
RNAcentral lists this long non-coding RNA (585 nucleotides) under Monodelphis domestica (gray short-tailed opossum). RNAcentral describes it as "lncRNA (ENSMODG00000032693.2)". Lineage: Eukaryota; Metazoa; Chordata; Mammalia; Didelphimorphia; Didelphidae. The record is from RNAcentral.